AUACGGAGGGUGCAAGCGUUACUCGGAAUCACUGGGCGUAAAGCGCGCGCAGGCGGUCUUUUAAGUUGGAUGUGAAAGCCUACGGCUCAACCGUAGAACUGCAUCCAAAACUAUUAGACUAGAGUGUGGGAGAGGAAGAUGGAAUUAGUUGUGUAGGGGUAAAAUCCGUAGAGAUAACUAGGAAUACCAAAAGCGAAGGCAAUCUUCUGGAACACUACUGACGCUGAGGCGCGAAAGCGUGGGGAGCAAGCAGGAUUAGAAACCCUAGUAGUCC
This 274-nucleotide ribosomal RNA is filed under the name uncultured bacterium. RNAcentral describes it as "partial 16S ribosomal RNA". It matches the Rfam family "Bacterial small subunit ribosomal RNA", at positions 523 to 796 of the family's 1533-position model. The record is from RNAcentral.